Molecule: ribosomal RNA, 472 nt
Filed under: Streptococcus australis
Lineage: Bacteria; Bacillati; Bacillota; Bacilli; Lactobacillales; Streptococcaceae
Description: bacterial SSU rRNA
Rfam family: Bacterial small subunit ribosomal RNA
Source: RNAcentral
GAUGAACGCUGGCGGCGUGCCUAAUACAUGCAAGUAGAACGCUGAAGGAGGAGCUUGCUCUUCUGGAUGAGUUGCGAACGGGUGAGUAACGCGUAGGUAACCUGCCUGGUAGCGGGGGAUAACUAUUGGAAACGAUAGCUAAUACCGCAUAACAGUAGAUAUUGCAUGAUAUCUGCUUGAAAGGGGCAAUUGCUCCACUACCAGAUGGACCUGCGUUGUAUUAGCUAGUUGGUGAGGUAACGGCUCACCAAGGCGACGAUACAUAGCCGACCUGAGAGGGUGAUCGGCCACACUGGGACUGAGACACGGCCCAGACUCCUACGGGAGGCAGCAGUAGGGAAUCUUCGGCAAUGGACGGAAGUCUGACCGAGCAACGCCGCGUGAGUGAAGAAGGUUUUCGGAUCGUAAAGCUCUGUUGUAAGAGAAGAACGAGUGUGAGAGUGGAAAGUUCACACUGUGACGGUAUCUACCA